UACAGAGGUUUCAAGCGUUGUUCGGAUUCAUUGGGCGUAAAGGGUGCGUAGGUGGCAUGGUAAGUCGGAUGUGAAAUCCCGGGGCUCAACCCCGGAACUGCAUUCGAUACUGCUGCGCUAGAGUACUGGAGAGGAGAUUGGAAUUUACGGUGUAGCAGUGAAAUGCGUAGAUAUCGUAAGGAAGACCAGUGGCGAAGGCGGAUCUCUGGACAGUUACUGACACUGAGGCACGAAAGCCAGGGGAGCAAACGGG
Molecule: ribosomal RNA, 253 nt
Filed under: uncultured bacterium
Lineage: Bacteria
Description: partial 16S ribosomal RNA
Rfam family: Bacterial small subunit ribosomal RNA
Source: RNAcentral